RNAcentral lists this ribosomal RNA (478 nucleotides) under uncultured bacterium. RNAcentral's name for it is "partial 16S ribosomal RNA". It matches the Rfam family "Bacterial small subunit ribosomal RNA", at positions 28 to 507 of the family's 1533-position model. The record is from RNAcentral.
GAUGAACGCUAGCGGCAGGCCUAACACAUGCAAGUCGAGGGAGAGGCCCUUUCGGGGGCAGAAACCGGCGCACGGGUGCGUAACGCGUAUGCAACCUACCUUUCACAGGGGGAUAGCCCGAAGAAAUUUGGAUUAAUACCCCAUAAUAUUAUUGGAUGGCAUCAUUUGAUAAUUAAAACUGCGGUGGUGAAAGAUGGGCAUGCGUCCUAUUAGCUAGUUGGAGUGGUAACGGCACCCCAAGGCUACGAUAGGUAGGGGUCCUGAGAGGGAGAUCCCCCACACUGGUACUGAGACAGGGACCAGACUCCUACGGGAGGCAGCAGUGAGGAAUAUUGGUCAAUGGUCGGAAGACUGAACCAGCCAUGCCGCGUGCAGGAAGAAUGCCUUAUGGGUUGUAAACUGCUUUUAUAUGGGAAGAAUAAGGCGUACGUGUACGUUGAUGACGGUACCAUAUGAAUAAGCAUCGGCUAACUCCGUG